CAGUCGCCACGGGAAUACGGAGGGUGCAAGCGUUAAUCGGAAUUACUGGGCGUAAAGCGUGCGUAGGCGGUUCGUUAAGACAGAUGUGAAAUCCCCGGGCUUAACCUGGGAACUGCAUUUGUGACUGGCGAGCUAGAGUAUGGCAGAGGGGGGUAGAAUUCCACGUGUAGCAGUGAAAUGCGUAGAGAUGUGGAGGAAUACCGAUGGCGAAGGCAGCCCCCUGGGCCAAUACUGACGCUCAUGCACGAAAGCGUGGGGAGCAAACAGGAUUAGAUACCCCUGUAGUCCCUGUCUCUUAUAC
RNAcentral lists this ribosomal RNA (301 nucleotides) under uncultured bacterium. Its description in RNAcentral is "partial 16S ribosomal RNA". It matches the Rfam family "Bacterial small subunit ribosomal RNA", at positions 509 to 807 of the family's 1533-position model. The record is from RNAcentral.